Molecule: long non-coding RNA, 356 nt
Organism: Haliotis rufescens (red abalone)
Lineage: Eukaryota; Metazoa; Mollusca; Gastropoda; Lepetellida; Haliotidae
Exons: 3
Source: RefSeq, a predicted model, not a curated record
GCCAGUAGAGCUGGAGCACGACAGGUUGUCAUCUUGCUUCGUGUUACUUGUCUGAGGCACACAAAAGACAUUGGCAGCCAUUGACGGUUGUUGGCUGUGACUAGCUGAUGGUCCAAACAGAAGCAGUCCCUGUUUAGGUUCACGGAACAAUUCAACCCGGAUCUUCUCAAUGAUUCAACAGCUUGCAUCGCAGGAUAACUACUUGUAUCAAAAUUGGUUAUUCAACCCACACUUCUAAAAGGAACCACCAACAGGAACAACGACAAUUUACUGUUCAAUUAUAGGAAAGCGUUGAAGAACGUUACAGAACAGCUCAUGAUGUAAAUACCUCAAAUUGUGGAAAGGGCAAAAAGCGG